RNAcentral lists this ribosomal RNA (557 nucleotides) under Clostridioides sp. ZZV14-6104. RNAcentral describes it as "bacterial SSU rRNA". It matches the Rfam family "Bacterial small subunit ribosomal RNA", at positions 262 to 841 of the family's 1533-position model. The record is from RNAcentral. Lineage: Bacteria; Bacillati; Bacillota; Clostridia; Peptostreptococcales; Peptostreptococcaceae.
GGCUUACCAAGGCGACGAUCAGUAGCCGACCUGAGAGGGUGAUCGGCCACAUUGGAACUGAGACACGGUCCAAACUCCUACGGGAGGCAGCAGUGGGGAAUAUUGCACAAUGGGCGAAAGCCUGAUGCAGCAACGCCGCGUGAGUGAUGAAGGCUUUCGGGUCGUAAAACUCUGUCCUCAAGGAAGAUAAUGACGGUACUUGAGGAGGAAGCCCCGGCUAACUACGUGCCAGCAGCCGCGGUAAUACGUAGGGGGCUAGCGUUAUCCGGAUUUACUGGGCGUAAAGGGUGCGUAGGCGGUCUUUCAAGUCAGGAGUGAAAGGCUACGGCUCAACCGUAGUAAGCUCUUGAAACUGGGAGACUUGAGUGCAGGAGAGGAGAGUGGAAUUCCUAGUGUAGCGGUGAAAUGCGUAGAUAUUAGGAGGAACACCAGUUGCGAAGGCGGCUCUCUGGACUGUAACUGACGCUGAGGCACGAAAGCGUGGGGAGCAAACAGGAUUAGAUACCCUGGUAGUCCACGCUGUAAACGAUGAGUACUAGGUGUCGGGGGUUACCCCC